Long non-coding RNA from Saccostrea cuccullata (small rock oyster), 1107 nucleotides. RefSeq lists it as uncharacterized. NCBI's taxonomy places the organism in Eukaryota, Metazoa, Mollusca, Bivalvia, Ostreida, Ostreidae. The transcript has 3 exons. The record is from RefSeq and is a predicted model, not a curated record.
UUGAUAGCAAACAUACUUGAUUAUUUAUUCAUAAUUAUUCUGGGUGUGUGUUUUUUGAUUUAAAAAAAUAAAACGUAUUUGAAAAUUGAAAAAAACUAGCAUUUCACAAAAAUAUUAUCUCCCUUUGUAGAACUCUCUAGUUCCGACAGUGAAAGGAGGUAAAAACAAAAGUAUUUGUAAGCAUGACGUUUUGCUGGUUUGGAGUUACUUUUUACAAGCCAUGUGUUUUAUUGAUAUUUUUAUAAAAAAAAAAAACUUCUUGGAUUAUACAGUAUAGCUUCCUUGGCAGAUGUGAUAUUGUUUGUUCUGAAGACAUUCAACAACUCGCGAGUUUCAGCAAUGGCCAUAUUGUCUAAAGUAGGUCGUAUGCCAUGUGUUACACUUGCUAAAUUAUUUAGUAAAUACAGUGAAUGACUAUGGAAUGUGGACGUUAUUUUAACUUUUCUUCAAAAUAAAAUACAAAGAGGUGAAGAAGGAAGUUUUGUCAAAUUCCAAAUCUUCUAAGUCCCCACCUACAUAUUGAAAACACCAGAGGAGAUGGACCGAGAAUUCCCCUCCAAACAGAACAUGUGAAAAUUUGAAAGCAGGUCAUAUGAUUGGUCAAGCUGGUGUAACACUACCAGUGUUAUAGGCCUACACCAUGCAUGUACACCAUGCUGCUGUGUGACCAAGUGAGGGGCAUCACAAGGAAGGGGAAGAUAUUUAGAUCAUUCAUGGAGCCUUCAACAUUGUAUUAAAACCAAAUUAUAAAGAGAACUCAAGAAGCCAGAGUUUUACAUUUAGUCAUGACCAGUCAUGACAUUCAGCAAAUGAAUGAGUAUCUGAUGAAAAUUAGUGAGAGUUUUCAGAGAAUAGGAGAUACCGUUGGGACACCUUCACUAAGCCUGCUAAAUUAUACUACAACAAUAUAAUGACAAACAUUGCUGUUAUUCUCCCAAAGAACAUCAAAGAAAUAGUGAAGUCUUACAGUAUCUGGAGAAAAUCCUAGUCUUGCCUAGUAUUAUACCUGAGGGAAGUUUUGACCACUUAUCCUGAAGUUAUUCAUGCAUAAUAACAUGGGUCCACUAUGCACUACUAUGAAUAUGCUUCAAAUAAUAAAAAAAAAUU